RNAcentral lists this ribosomal RNA (496 nucleotides) under uncultured bacterium. RNAcentral's name for it is "partial 16S ribosomal RNA". It matches the Rfam family "Bacterial small subunit ribosomal RNA", at positions 28 to 507 of the family's 1533-position model. The record is from RNAcentral.
GACGAACGCUGGCGGCGUGCCUAAUACAUGCAAGUUGAGCGAUGAAGAUUGGUGCUUGCACCAAUUUGAAGAGCAGCGAACGGGUGAGUAACGCGUGGGGAAUCUGCCUUUGAGCGGGGACAACAUUUGGAAACGAAUGCUAAUACCGCAUAACAACUUUAAACAUAAGUUUUAAGUUUGAAAGAUGCAAUUGCAUCACUCAAAGAUGAUCCCGCGUUGUAUUAGCUAGUUGGUGAGGUAAAGGCUCACCAAGGCGAUGAUACAUAGCCGACCUGAGAGGGGGAUCGGCCACAUUGGGACUGAGACACGGCCCAAACUCCUACGGGAGGCAGCAGUAGGGAAUCUUCGGCAAUGGACGAAAGUCUGACCGAGCAACGCCGCGUGAGUGAAGAAGGUUUUCGGAUCGUAAAACUCUGUUGGUAGAGAAGAACGUUGGUGAGAGUGGAAAGCUCAUCAAGUGACGGUAACUACCCAGAAAGGGACGGCUAACUACGUG